RNAcentral lists this ribosomal RNA (384 nucleotides) under Bacillus sp. R-32842. RNAcentral's name for it is "bacterial SSU rRNA". It matches the Rfam family "Bacterial small subunit ribosomal RNA", at positions 28 to 400 of the family's 1533-position model. The record is from RNAcentral. Lineage: Bacteria; Bacillati; Bacillota; Bacilli; Caryophanales; Bacillaceae.
GACGAACGCUGGCGGCGUGCCUAAUACAUGCAAGUCGAGCGAAUCUGAUGGGAGCUUGCUCCCUGAUGAUUAGCGGCGGACGGGUGAGUAACACGUGGGUAACCUGCCUGUAAGACUGGGAUAACUCCGGGAAACCGGGGCUAAUACCGGAUAACUUUUUUCUUCGCAUGAGGGAGAAUUGAAAGAUGGCUUCGGCUAUCACUUACAGAUGGACCCGCGGCGCAUUAGCUAGUUGGUGAGGUAACGGCUCACCAAGGCGACGAUGCGUAGCCGACUUGAGAGGGUGAUCGGCCACACUGGGACUGAGACACGGCCCAGACUCCUACGGGAGGCAGCAGUAGGGAAUCUUCCGCAAUGGACGAAAGUCUGACGGAGCAACGCCGC